AUGUUCCGCAUGUUCCAGGAGCUUGCACCACAUGACCCACGCGACAAGUGUGGUCACCACUAUGCGAUCUGUCUUGACCUGAAGAACCAACGUUUCGAGGUGCUUGAUUCAACCCGUUCGAAAGCUGAUGCAGACCUUACUACGCAUGCCAAAUUCUUCAUUAACAACCUCAAAGAUACAUGGAACCGUCACUACGAACAUUCAAAGGUCCAGAUCAGGCAUUUCCCGACUGAGUAUGUGGCGACUGCGAAGCAAGGGAACACGUCGGACUGUGGCUUUCACGCGCUGGAAUACUUUGCAAAGUGGGAAGGCUGA
This 315-nucleotide ribosomal RNA is filed under the name Triticum aestivum (bread wheat). RNAcentral describes it as "partial small subunit ribosomal RNA". The record is from RNAcentral. Lineage: Eukaryota; Viridiplantae; Streptophyta; Magnoliopsida; Poales; Poaceae.